UACGGGGGAGCAAGCGUUGUUCGGAUUUACUGGGCGUAAAGGGCGCGUAGGCGGCGCAACAAGUCACUUGUGAAAUCUCCGGGCUUAACCCGGAGCGGCCAAGUGAUACUGUCGUGCUAGAGUGCGGAAGGGGCUACUGGAAUUCUCGGUGUAGCGGUGAAAUGCGUAGAUAUCGAGAGGAACACCUGCGGCGAAGGCGGGUAGCUGGGCCGACACUGACGCUGAGGCGCGAAAGCCAGGGAGCGAACGGG
Molecule: ribosomal RNA, 251 nt
Filed under: uncultured bacterium
Lineage: Bacteria
Description: partial 16S ribosomal RNA
Rfam family: Bacterial small subunit ribosomal RNA
Source: RNAcentral